UACAGAGGGUGCGAGCGUUGUUCGGAAUUAUUGGGCGUAAAGGGCGCGUAGGCGGUGCGGUAAGUCACCUGUGAAAUCUCCUGGCUCAACUGGGAGCUUGCAGGCGAAACUGCCGUGCUGGAGUGUGGGAGAGGUGCGUGGAAUUCCUGGUGUAGCGGUGAAAUGCGUAGAUAUCGGGAAGAACACCCGUGGCGAAGGCGGCUCUCUGGAACGCAACUGACGCUGAGACGCGAAAGCGUGGGGAGCAAACAGG
Molecule: ribosomal RNA, 253 nt
Filed under: uncultured bacterium
Lineage: Bacteria
Description: partial 16S ribosomal RNA
Rfam family: Bacterial small subunit ribosomal RNA
Source: RNAcentral